GAAGGCAUAGCUCAGUGGUAGAGUGUGUGCUUAGCAUGCAGGAGGUCUUGGGUUCAAUCCCCAGUACUUCCA
RNAcentral lists this transfer RNA (72 nucleotides) under Camelus bactrianus (Bactrian camel). It matches the Rfam family "tRNA". Rfam says of the family: Transfer RNA (tRNA) molecules are approximately 80 nucleotides in length. The record is from Rfam by way of RNAcentral. RNAcentral also lists the same sequence under 1 other name. Lineage: Eukaryota; Metazoa; Chordata; Mammalia; Artiodactyla; Camelidae.